This 458-nucleotide ribosomal RNA is filed under the name uncultured bacterium. Its description in RNAcentral is "bacterial SSU rRNA". It matches the Rfam family "Bacterial small subunit ribosomal RNA", at positions 34 to 507 of the family's 1533-position model. The record is from RNAcentral.
CGCUGGCGGCGUGCCUAACACAUGCAAGUCGAACGGAACUCGGGACUUCGGUUCUGAGUUUAGUGGCGGACGGGUGAGUAACACGUGAGCAAUCUGCCUUUCAGAGGGGGAUACCAGUUGGAAACGACUGUUAAUACCGCAUAACAUAUCGAGAUCGCAUGAUAUUGAUAUCAAAGAUUUAUCGCUGAAAGAUGAGCUCGCGUCUGAUUAGAUAGUUGGUGAGGUAACGGCUCACCAAGUCGACGAUCAGUAGCCGGACUGAGAGGUUGGACGGCCACAUUGGGACUGAGACACGGUCCAGACUCCUACGGGAGGCAGCAGUGGGGAAUAUUGGGCAAUGGGCGAAAGCCUGACCCAGCGACGCCGCGUGAGGGAAGACGGUCUUCGGAUUGUAAACCUCUUUUAUAAGGGACGAAGAAAUGACGGUACCUUAUGAAUAAGCCACGGCUAACUACGUG